CAUUUUGUUUAGGUUUUUUUUCAUUUUUCCUGCACCUUCUGGUGCUGGCUUGGGGUAAGCAGACGGUCUGACUUCCCCCCAGGAAGGCAGCUUUACUCCAAGCUCUUCUUCAAAGGAGGUAGAGCUGGAAAUCUUUUGAAGGAUCCUGCUCUGAAGUCCCUGAUUUCUAGUUACCGCAGAUCUCUUCCUGGAGGGCUGGGGAGACGAGGUGAAUUUUCUAUAGUAAUGUCUGAGUUCUUGCACCCAAACAGCUUCUCCACGUCGCCUCCUGUUUAUUCCUUGGGAGAGAGAACAGAGAAGGAAAAUUACUUUUUCCUCAGUGGAGCCAAUCUUGCAUUGGAGAAGCUGUGCGGCGUGCUCCCCUGGGUCGAACUCGGCUUAGUACGAUAUUUCUGGCUCUGCAUGAAGUCCCAUUGAAGAUCGUGGGUCUUAUGACACCCUUCGUUCCGGCUGAAUGUAAGAUGCCAUUAAGGUCCCCUGGGGAGUAAGACGGCCAAAACGCAGCCACGGGCAAGGCUGUGUAGGAGCUGAUCUACGCAAGCCGAGGGUUUUGCUGAGCAGCGGAUGCGAUCGCAGGGCGGCUGGUGUUCGGGCACGUGUCCGUGAAAGGCAAGGACACGGGAAUCCCGAGAGAGGCGUGGGGCUGGCGGUGUUUUAUGGGCAGAGCGCUGGCUGGAAAGGAGACGCGCAGCUGGUUGUAGCUUCUUGGCUCCCAAUUUCCCGAUUCCUCCAAGGAUAUAGGACUCUGGCAUGCUUUACCAACAAGCAGGACCGCAUCGAAGGAAAUGCGUGUCUCCAUCAUCACUUUUUCCUCCUCGUUUGGGUGGGUGGGGAGCAACACAACUCCAAAUAUUGGCGGGCAGCUCCAGUCGAAAGGGGUAGCACCACUGGAGAGUCACUGAGACCUCCUUCCACUUCCUGGCUUGUGGCUUCCUCUUGGACACGGCCCACCGAUUUGGCCCAGCAGGUCUCAGGAAGCUUAACUGGAUUGACGGGGGAUGUAGCACGAGGACUAGCUCUCCCCAGUCAGCUUCUCCUUGGACACAAACAGGCCUCUCUGAAAGACAGAGCGGUCAUCUCGCGGCCUCUUCACGCUCUCCGUAAGGCUGGUUUUCCCCAGACGGAAGUGUAGCGUUUUGACACGUGUGUGCAUAACGACCGGGACGCUGGACGAGACGCCUGCCUAAGGACAGAGCCUGCACCGUGCCUCCUCUCGUGCAGCGAGCAAGCCCGAUUUCCAGGGAAGCCGUGGAGAGCUGGACCAGCCUGCACAACACCUGGAUAAAUCUGCGGUCUUUACAUUGUGAGAUCCUUAGGCGAGGUGAUGCAUUUGAAACUGCUGUUAACCAAACCUGACAUCGUGGGUGAAUAAAUGCAACCAAAACCAGGAGCAAUAAGCAGAGCUCAGUAAGCUCUCCCAUUCAAAUGCCAUCCUCAGACUAUUCAGGUCACAGUGGCAUCAGCUUGUGGCUGUGAAUCGCUCUUAUUUUUUUCUACACCUUACUGUCUUUGCUGUCAAGCCAGUAUUUAGAGGGUUUUCUUGAGACUUAUCUUAAUGUUUGAUAAAUCCCCGAAGAUCUCUGAUAAGAAAAAGGCAGGAGCAAGAGUAGGGUGUCUGCCUUGGGCCAUAUGGCUGCAAAUAGCUGUCAUAUUUGUCCCGGGGUAAAGUCUUUGCCCUGGGAUCCUACAGACCAGGGGUAUAACAAGGCAGCCGGGGCAGUGGUGACUGGCUGCUGCCAUACCGCUGGUGUGAUUUGUGUAGCUAGUUUGUUUGGGGUUUUUUCUGCCCUCCUCCCAUAACCUCCCUGCCAAGCUCCAUAAAGCUUCAGGGAAGGGUGGUCCUGCACGUCCUUUUGGAAACGAGAACCUCCAAUGUUUUUUCUUUAAAGAUCUGUACGCAUUUCCAGUUGGCAUCAGACCUGAGGUCAAAGUCCCAAAGGGGAGAGUAGCCAACUAGCCGUGGCAAUCUGCAGUCAGCUCCAGAGAGCUAAUCUUUUAUGUCCGUCAGCACCGAAGGGCUAGAAGUCCAAGAGCUACUGAAUGAGCCCAACAGCUGGCAUAAGAAGACCUGUUUAUCCCAUGGAAGAGCACAGGAAUAUCACAGCCAACCCCAGCAAACUGUGCAUCCGGAUUAAAUAGAUCAUUGUGGUCACAAACCCUUGAAAGAGGCUGGGCUGGGCUCGCCGUGAAUGAGAUGUUAUAGGAUCUCGAUAUCCCUAUAGGACGCUCCAGUGCUAGAUGGCUUUUAGCCUUUGGUUCCUCGAUGCGAGGGGAAAGGUGGUACGGAGUGACGAUAACUGAGUUCUGGUGUGGCCACAGCGAUCAGAGGCAACUUGAGGAAGGUGGCAACCUGUUGCAUGCAUGGCUCCAUCUCUCAUCCGUGGGUUGAUGACCGAUCGGUCGGAUGCAGGUGGUGCCUACUUACAUGGUGGGUGCAUGGGGUGGAUGGUCUCUUCUCUAUCGAGGACAUCUAUGCUUGAGUGGGUGGCUGUAAUUUAUGGUGGCUUUAAACCAAGUGUGCCUCAGCAAGCUCAUGCGAGCCAAUGGAGUUCAGGUUGUGAAGUGUUUCUGGCCUGGCCCUGGUUUACACUGAAGAUUUAAUCCAUUGCACGCUCUAGAGGAUGGGGAGUGCGCCCACCUUCCUCUUUGUUGAGUGUGCAGCAUUAAAAAAAAAACCCCUUCCAGCUGAGGCUUCCUUGGGUGACUAUAAUACUUAAUGUUAUUCUGCCUGUAUUUUAAUCAGCUUACUAUGGGAUGCAGAUAUGGGGCUGUUAUGCCAAAGAAAAAACUUUCUUUCUAUUACAUUUUUAACCGGUACAGCAAUGUGUAGAUCCCUUCUUAAGAUGAACAUUACCAAGACUGUUCUUGUAGCAGCAGGAGUCAUUUCUAAAUGAUCCAAAUUUGACUUUGUUAAGAUUUCAUUGGCAAUUUCUUGACACGUAUUCAUUUUAUUUUUCUAGCAGAAUAACCCCUUGCUUGUUCCAAAUGGAAACCCAGUUUUAUUGUUGCUUCUAGGUCACUAGGCCAUGGAUUGUUACAUGGCCAUCAUUUGCAUUGCUUCGGGGAUGGAUCUUCAUCCUUUAGACUUGUGUUUCCAAGGAUGUAGGAUGGAAACAUUGGCUUCAGGGUGAAACUUGACUCCUGGUCUAUGGCACUGGGAAUAAACCAGGCAUCAAUAACGGGCAGGGAUUUGGCAAAAGUCUCCUUGUCCAGUUACGUGAGUGUCAGCACAAAUGUAUUGAAUUGUUUGGAGGUUAAAUUUAUCUUCCUACCUGAACAACGGGUUCUUUUUUUCCAUAACAUCAGAUUUAAUGAUUUAAUCAAUAACUGGGACCUUAUUGCUUUUAUAAACUGAACUCAUGCUUUUUCAAUGUUUCAACUAGCAAUUAAAAAAAAAAAAUAAGUAUAAGCCUAUAUUGAAUCUUAUCUGGCCCAAUACCAGAGAUACCUGGGACAUGAUACCUCCCCCCACGCCUUGAAAAAUUUCGACCAAAAAAAAAAAAGUUUUUGUUCUUCUUUGGGGCGUGCGUGUCUAUCCAGUCAUCCCAGUCUAUCUGGUCCCCUUCAAGCAUGUAACCAACUCGUUGCAAUUCAGGCUUCAAUGGCAUUACAUUGAUUUCCGCUAGCUGUCUACGCUUCCAGCUCUACAUCACGUUUGGACCCGAGACCCGCUGAAGUCGUUAGUAGUUUUGUCACUGUCUACAGUGGAAACAGCACUGGACCCUUGUCUUAGUGUGUGAAUAGCAAAUGGUGAUGUAGAGUGUUAUUUUAAAUCUGGUUCAAGACCCCAAGUCAAGCUCCCUUCAAUCAAACAUGUAACGGGAUCCCAGCGUGUAGCAAAUAUUACUUAUUACAUGCUAGUUUUCUCUCGUGGUCAUUGCCCCACUAGAACGGGUGUGAACGGGUGAAUAAAAAGUCCUAUGGCUGGUUUGAAUUGAAGUCAUAUUUUGCUUGUAAAUGUAUUAUUUGCCUCCAAAGUCCUCCUCAGGUUCGCAUCAGAAAGCGAGGCUUAUGCAUCCAUGAAGGCCUCCUUAUCCACGCCAUAAAAAAGAAUUUUUAAACAGUUUUAGAGGUCUCCGGGGCUUCUCUCUUUCCUGCAAACAGAGCUGCCUGUUGGUUUUGGAGGCCCAAGUUUCCCCCAGUGGGCUUCCACAUUCUGUGUAUAAUUAGAAAUGAAGAUCAUUCCUUUCAUCUUUAAAAUAACCAAGCCUGAUGACUUGAGAUCAUGAAAAUUUAAAGCAUGCUUCUUGAUUUUUGUCCCAUGUUGUAACCUCUCCAGAGCCUGAUGUGCUUACUUAUCAGCCAUGGGUUUACCAGGCCUAUCCUAUAAAAUUUCCCUGCCACGAGGACUGAGCGUCCACCGAAGAUCUGAACUUAAGGAGUAUUCUUAGCCGAGUUUGCAAACUAGCUGCUGGUGAUAUACAGAGCUGCAGCAAACAGCUGAACAGUUUGUCCUUAACUCAGCAAGUUGUUGUGAACAAAGUAGAUGGUGAACCAUCUCGAUAUGGGAAAUGCAGGUUCUAUUGUAUAAUUUAACAUAUUGCAAUCAUGGGUGGAUCUAGGAUUUUAUAAAGGGGGGUGCAGAUCAUGUGGUGCAUCAUCAUAUCUAACACAAUACCUUUUUCUCCAAUUAAAGAGAAACUAAAGGCUUUAAUAAUAGGCUAGAGACCUAGAGCCAUAUUAUUCAGCUUAAGAUCAAAGGAAAAAGAAAUAUAACUUUAUUGGAAUGCGCAUUAAUUUGGUAGAUCAUACAUACCGGUUUAAAAAUACAACAAACGAGGCAAAUCAUUGUCAAAAGACAUUGCUCUGUUAGUCUUGUGGUCCUGAUAAUUAAAUGUACGUGUCUUAUUCAGAUUCACAAAA
Alligator mississippiensis (American alligator) is the source of this 4863-nucleotide long non-coding RNA. RefSeq lists it as uncharacterized. NCBI's taxonomy places the organism in Eukaryota, Metazoa, Chordata, Crocodylia, Alligatoridae. The record is from RefSeq and is a predicted model, not a curated record. The transcript has 2 exons.